Siniperca chuatsi (mandarin fish) is the source of this 3243-nucleotide long non-coding RNA. RefSeq lists it as uncharacterized. The transcript has 3 exons. The record is from RefSeq and is a predicted model, not a curated record. Lineage: Eukaryota; Metazoa; Chordata; Actinopteri; Centrarchiformes; Sinipercidae.
UCAGAGGCUCUUCUGGCUCAGGGGCCCUCUCAGCCCUCGGGCCCCUGGUCCUGUUCAAGUCAUGAAUGACAGCAGGUCAUCAGUCAGUUUGCGGUUAAAACCAUCAAACCUGCAGAGAGACCAGAAGAUUUCCCCCUUCAGCCUGUGGACAGCAGCAGCAGGUGGACUCUCUGCAGACCUUUCGGAUCUGUUUCCUGCCCAGUCUUGUUGAAUUAUUCAGACUCUGUCAUCCAGUUCAACCUCUAACGGCUGCCAGCUGCUUCAAAAAGCUUAAGAUCAUCACCAUCAGUCCACAUUAGCCUCACUGCCUCCAUCAGUCUCUGAUGUAAUCAUGUUUUCUGGAGUUGGGACGUUAGAUUUGAGGAGCAGCCCCAAUUUUCAUCCUUCAAUAUCAGCCGCGAGUUCAAAUAAUCUCAUUGGGUCAAACUAACGAACGCAGAGCGAAGCUGGCAGUUCAUCACCGCAGACGCAUCCUUCAUUUGGGGCUUUAAAUUGUUCAGUCUGCUCUGAGUUUUCUUCUUUGGGGAUUUUUACAGGAAACAGACAAAAGGUCAUCAUCAUAUUUCUACAUCAGAGUGAACUGUGGCGUGACUGUCUGACCCUGACGACCUUCAGAUGGAGGGUUGAAACUUUCAGCGAGGUGUCCUCUGUGUCUCUGACAGACCGCCCAGGGUUCUGGUUUGAUGAAUCAGCUGCUUAUUGCUGGAUGACCCUGACCUGGGGCUGAUUAAAGCUCUGGCUAUGACACGGAGUCUGUGAAUUAUGGCUGAACUUUGACCUCUUCUCCUCCUCUGAUAUUCCUGCAGGAGUUUCAGGGUUUGUUCGGCUGCAAUCAUCUGCAUCUUCCUCACUACAGCUGAAGAUAAUUUACCGUGAUAAAAAGCGGGCCGCAGAGGUCUGGUGAGCACUGACCUGUCGAUGCUGAUGGCGCAGAGGUUGAAGAUGGAGGAAGUGCACAGCAUCACGUCCAUGGUCAUCAGACCGUCACAGAUGGUGGUGCUGAGGGUCCACACGCCGUCCUGGAACUGAGACACAAACACGCUCAUUACAAGAAAAACGACUGCACGUCUUCGGAAGCUCAGCUGGUUUGAGGUGCGCGUGGUUCAGCUCCGCUCUUCUACAGCUCCGUGGUGGAGUCAGUCAUCACCUCCUCUGUUAUUACUUGGUUUGGUGAUCUCUCAACGGGCGACAGGAACAGGUUGCGGCAUGUAGUCAAAGUGGCCGGUAAGAUCACUGGUGUUAAACUGCCUGAUCUGUGUCACAUUUUUACGUAAGAGACGUGCUUCGCAGUGUCCUCUUCAUCCUCUGUGUGGAGAGUUAGAGCUUCUCCCCUCCGGGCGGAGAUUUAGACGACCAAAGUCCAGGUCUAACGGGGAGACUAAUCAUUUUAUCUCUCAGGCCAUGUUAAAUACUCACGAUGACUCAGCUGAUGACUAGUUUCCUGUAUAACUUUAGGGGGCUGAUGAUGUUUUUGGCGAUUGCUAAACAUACUCUAGGUUUCCACAAAUUCAGCAAAGAGUGUAACAAUAGAAAAACCUUCCAAAAGCGUAAAAGCUCAGCGCAGUGCAGGAUCGUUUAUUUCUGCAAACAAACACGACUGCCGACGUCCUCACAGCUGUAUCUUUCCAACAACUCUUCCCUUCUCUUUACGCACUCUGCAACAUGUUAGAAAUCCACAAAUUAUGAGCCAUGUUUGGUCUGUAUUUUGUGAUCGGCAGGUGUCACUGUACAUAAGUACAUUUACUCAAGUACUGCAUGUAAGUACAAUUUUGAGGUACUUCUACUUCUACUCCACUGCAAUUCAGAGAACAAUAUUGUGCUUUUUACACCAUUUCGUUUAUUUGCAAACUUUAGUUACUUUGCUGAUUCAGAUUAAUUACGAUGUAUUAUUAAAGGCUAAGAUAGGACUUUACCAGCUGCCACGUUACUUGUACCAUUUGUACACUGUGGUACUUUUACUCAUGUUACCACAAUGUUAUUUAUUGUAUCUGUAUAUUUUAUUUGUAUAUUACUGUGUUUACUUGUUUCUUAAUGUUUAAUCUCACUUUUAUUAACACAAAUCCAUCACAGCGAAUGCAGACCAUCGUCUCUUUCAGGAAUUUGAGAGAUAACGGUUUCUGGAUAUUAUUUAUCCCAUGUGCAAUAAGAGCUCUUAAUUCAUAUAUACCAUAAACUCUCUUGGUUCCUCAUCAGCUCAGCACUUUCUCUUAUCCCUCAGCACUUUUAAUGUCUUUUAUUGUCUUACCGUGUUUAUGUUUGCUUUGCUGCAAAAAGACAUUCCUCUUGUGGGACAAUAAAGAACUGAACUGUGAGAACAAACGGUCACGAGAUUUGAGCAACAAAUAUCUAGUGUGAAAAUGUAUCUGUUGUUUCUCUCUGUUUUAUGAACACUAUGAAACUGAACCCCAUUCAUUUACCCAUACAAUACAAUAAUGAUGUAAUUAAGAUACUUUUAAUGAGAUUUUAAGGGGAUAAUUAAUGGAUGUAUUAAGGUGAGGCAUGGUUUAAUGGAUUUUUAAGGUGUAAAAACUCUUUACCAACUCCUGACCAAAUGACAUGACAGCCAUCCCUUAUGCCUUAACAUAUCCUCAAAUUUUCAGUUAACGUGAACAUUUUGUGAUGACUUUCAUGCUUUGUGGUUCAUUUUAAGAGUUUUUUUUAAAUAACUGAAAACCCUUUAAACCAAGCAUAUAAUCAAUUAAAACACCCUUAAUAUAUUAUAAUCCAUUAAUUGGUGCAUUAAUUAAUAGAUUGAGCUGGUGUUGCUGCAGAUUUGGUGUGUAGAAGAGGUAACAACAGAGGUAACAUCAGUCUAAUUCCUGUCAGCAGCAGUUAAUUAAUAUGUCAAUUAAGGGGAAAGUCAAGUAGGCUACUACUUAAAAUCUACUUAACUUGUAAAUUAAGGACUUUUCAAAUAAAAGUGUUUUUAAGGGGCUUGGUUAUUGCUUUUCCAAAUUAAUGGACAAAUUAAAGAAUCUCUGGUUACCACCUUAAUCUAAAUUACGGUGUUUGGGGUGUUUUCAGGGAUAAAUUAAGGUUAUUUGGGUGUUUUAAGGGUUUUUUGUUACAUGGUUAAAUGUUCCAUGCAGAGAGCGGCUCUUUAAAACAGAUUUGAAAGGAAAAUGCUGGAAUCCAUAACACCUGCUGUGCCGAGACCAGACAGACCUGCAUCUGGACUCUGAAGUCAAGCAGCUCUGUGGGGCCCCUAAAAGAGUCGGGGGCCCCUGGAGGUCUGGUUGCAGC